Molecule: long non-coding RNA, 983 nt
Filed under: Gossypium barbadense (sea-island cotton)
Lineage: Eukaryota; Viridiplantae; Streptophyta; Magnoliopsida; Malvales; Malvaceae
Description: long non-coding RNA (GBAR_LNC007318)
Source: RNAcentral
AGGGCAACAAAGAAGGGACCUCCAAGCAAUUCACGUGGACAAAACCGAUGGAACAUCUUUUUCUUGAAAUUUUAGCAGAUGAGGCCCAGAAAGGAAAUAAGCCUUCUAAUACUUUCAAAGCAGUUUCUAUUAAUCGAGUUGUCGAAGCUAUUUCUGAAAAAUUUCAAGUCCAAUGCGAUGCAAAACAUGUGGAAAAUCAUUUGAGGACUGUAAAAAAAGUGGCAGAUUAUAUGCACAAUUCGGGGUGAAAGUGGUUUUGGAUGGGAUGAUAACAUGAAAAUGAUCACAUGUGAUAGAGCGACAUAUGAUGCAGCAGUAAUGGUAAUAUAUGUAUAUAUAUAGUAAGUAUAUUUCAAUUAUUUUUUACUUGUUAUCCUAAUUUUGUAUAAUAUCCAACAGGCGCACAAGAAGUAUGAGCCAUUUUUGAAUAAAAGCAUUGAUCAUUAUGAUGAAAUGGCUUUGGUUGUUGGCAAAGAUAUGGCAAUAGGGAGUUUUGCCAGAACAUUUGCUGACAUAGAUUUGGAUGAUGAUAACAUAGAUUCAGUGCCUAUAGACUGCGAGAAUGAAGCGACUGAAGAGGUAAGAACAAAUGUAUCUUCAUCUGGCACAUCCAAACGUAAAAGAAAAAAGGCUCAAGAAAGUGUCAAUGAUGAACAAAUUAAAUUUGUGGGUGAACAACUUGGCAAAAUUGCUAAUGCUUUGGAACAAUUUACUGCGGAUAAGACACCACAUCUUUACGAAGAAGUGAUGUCAAUGGAGGUAGAAGGAUUUGAUGAUGACUUCCUUUGUUCUGUGUUUGAUUAUUUAGUGAGUCAUGAAUCUGAGGCAAAAGCUUUUUUAGUUAAAAGUAAGAAGCAUAGAAAAAUUUGGCUUCAAAAAUUUUCUCAAGGUUGAAGAUAUUGAUACUUUUAAUGUGGUGUAAUAUUAGUUAUGCACUUGGACAAUAUUGUUGUUAUCAUGUGGUGUAAUAUUAGUUAUCAUAU